UGCCUUGCAUCACAUGGAAACCCAAACCCUAGUCGCUAACCCCCGCUGGAAAAGAAAACUCGGACGCUGGAGAAGGAGGUCGACCGCCGACUGCUACUGCACCGGAGCCAUCGUUGACUGCCAAAAAAAGUAAAAAUUUCUCCUACCACUCAAAACUCAAUUUUGAGCACUCUUGUGGCCAAAUCAAAGCAAAAAGGAUGGCGGGU
Molecule: long non-coding RNA, 206 nt
Filed under: Carica papaya (papaya)
Lineage: Eukaryota; Viridiplantae; Streptophyta; Magnoliopsida; Brassicales; Caricaceae
Description: long non-coding RNA (CPAP_LNC003272)
Source: RNAcentral